This 253-nucleotide ribosomal RNA is filed under the name uncultured bacterium. Its description in RNAcentral is "partial 16S ribosomal RNA". It matches the Rfam family "Bacterial small subunit ribosomal RNA", at positions 524 to 776 of the family's 1533-position model. The record is from RNAcentral.
UACGUAGGGUGCAAGCGUUGUCCGGAAUUAUUGGGCGUAAAGAGCGUGUAGGCGGUUUGGUAGGUCCGUUGUGAAAACUCGAGGCUCAACCUCGAGACGCCGAUGGAAACCAUCAGACUAGAGUCCGGAAGAGGAGAGUGGAAUUCCUGGUGUAGCGGUGAAAUGCGCAGAUAUCAGGAAGAACACCCGUGGCUAAGGCGGCUCUCUAGUACGGUACUGACGCUGAGACGCGAAAGCGUGGGGAGCGAACAGG